GGGUUAGUAGGUUGGUCAUGCCUCUGGUAUGUACUGGUCUCACUGAUUCCUCCUUCCUGAUGAACCUUAAUGCCAUUAAUUUGGUGUUUUGGGGAAUUUGGACUGUUACUUUGAAAAAAUUAGAGUGUUUAAAGCAAGCUAACGCUUGAAUACAUUAGCAUGGAAUAAUGAAAUAGGACGAAGUUGUUUUAUUUUGUUGGUUUCUAGGAUUGACGUA
RNAcentral lists this ribosomal RNA (217 nucleotides) under Campeiostachys nutans. RNAcentral's name for it is "Elymus nutans partial small subunit ribosomal RNA". The stretch from base 39 to 217 matches the Rfam family "Eukaryotic small subunit ribosomal RNA", at positions 685 to 864 of the family's 1831-position model. The record is from RNAcentral. Lineage: Eukaryota; Viridiplantae; Streptophyta; Magnoliopsida; Poales; Poaceae.